AUGGACGCUAGCGGCUAGGCUUAACACAUGCAAGUCGAGGGGUAUAGCUACUUCGGAAUUAGAGACCGGCGUCACGGGUGCGUAACGCGUAUGCAAUCUACCUUCACAGAGGGAUAGCCCAGAGAAAUUUGGAUUAAUACCUCAUAGUAUAGCAGUUUCGCAUGAAACCACUAUUAAAGUCACAACGGUGAAAGAUGAGCAUGCGUCCCAUUAGCUAGUUGGUAAGGUAACGGCUUACCAAGGCAACGAUGGGUAGGGGUCCUGAGAGGGAGAUCCCCCCACACUGGUACUGAGACACGGACCAGACUCCUACGGGAGGCAGCAGUGAGGAAUAUUGGACAAUGGGCGCAAGCCUGAUCCAGCCAUGCCGCGUGCAGGAUGACGGUCCUAUGGAUUGUAAACUGCUUUUAUACAGGAAGAAACACUACUUCGUGAAGUAGCUUGACGGUACUGUAAGAAUAAGGAUCGGCUAACUCCGUG
This 480-nucleotide ribosomal RNA is filed under the name uncultured bacterium. RNAcentral's name for it is "bacterial SSU rRNA". It matches the Rfam family "Bacterial small subunit ribosomal RNA", at positions 29 to 507 of the family's 1533-position model. The record is from RNAcentral.